Molecule: non-coding RNA, 72 nt
Organism: Pangasianodon gigas (Mekong giant catfish)
Lineage: Eukaryota; Metazoa; Chordata; Actinopteri; Siluriformes; Pangasiidae
Source: the annotation of a GenBank genome assembly
UCCCUGGUGUCUAGUGGCUAAGGAUCCUGUGCUCCCAUCACCGCGGCCCGGGUUCGAUUCCCAGAAAGGGAA